This 299-nucleotide ribosomal RNA is filed under the name uncultured Herbaspirillum sp. Its description in RNAcentral is "partial 16S ribosomal RNA". It matches the Rfam family "Bacterial small subunit ribosomal RNA", at positions 497 to 795 of the family's 1533-position model. The record is from RNAcentral. Lineage: Bacteria; Pseudomonadati; Pseudomonadota; Betaproteobacteria; Burkholderiales; Oxalobacteraceae.
GUAACAGCGUGCAGUGCGUCACGGUAAGACUUGUGUGGGAAGCGGUGUGCUGAAUUACUGGGCGUAAAGGGCGCGCAGGGGGUUAUUCAAGUCGAAUGUGAAAUCCCCCGGCUUAACUGGGGAGUGUCAUUCGAUACUGCUUAACUUGAAGGCAUGAGAGGUUAGUGGAAUUCCCGGUGUAGUGGUGAAAUGCGUAGAUAUCGGGAGGAACACCAGUGGCGAAGGCGACUACCUGGCCUGUUCUUGACGCUGAGGCGCGAAAGCUGGGGGAGCAAACGGGAUUAGAUACCCCAGUAGUC